CUUUGGUUGUCAACAAUUGUUGAAAUUAAUCAAUAGCCCCUGCUUGAUCCCCAUUUUUGGGAUCAAAUGUAUUAUAAAAUAGUGAUUUUUUUUAGAGAAAGUGUGGUUAGAAAGUAAGGAAUUUUUUUUUUAAAUACGUGUAUAAUUAUUUUAUGAGAAAAUGUGGUUGAAAAUGAUAUUUGAAAAAAUAUAUUCCUGAAAAAAUGAGGCUCAAACAGGGGCAUAUAUACUAUAAUAUAAUCACCAACUAUGGUUCUAUCCUUCUUGGCAAACUCCGUAGAAGGGGAAAUGGAAGACUCCAGCAUCUAAAUUUUCUCUUGCUUUAACCAUCAUGCAUUAUGCUUCUAUAGUAUUGUCUUGCAUUUGAUGUGAUAGAAUUAGUUAUAUUUCAUUUUGAUAAUGAGAAGCUCCAUAAGAAGAAGGCAAAGGAGGCCAAGAAAUUGGGCAUAAAGAAGAAACCUAAGGUAGAGAAAGACCCUCGAAAUCACAAAUAAUGUGCCCUUCAAGGAACAUGAACUUAAAGACCUCGAGGCUCGCUGCCAAUAAGACAUCGAGGAGCAAGAUGAGAAAAAAGCCGCUCAAAAUGAUACGGUAUAUGAAUAUCAUCCUAAUUUGUUUGAGCCAUUUGGUCGGUUCCUUAAUUGUAAUAAUUAGCUGUUGCUAGAUUUUGAUUUCUUGUAAUUUUACCUAUAGUUUAUGUAGGAAAUUUACUAAUCAAACUUUUUCAUCCGGGUUUUAAAGCUUCUUAAGAAAAAUAGAGACGUGCUCUUUAGUGAGACCUUUUUAGGGAGUGAAAAUUAGUUUUUUUUUUUUACCCUUCCAUGAACUAUCAUUUUACAGUAUAUCACUAUGUAUUACCUCUUAAGUGGGAUAUUAAUUUGACAAAUUAUGAAAGAAGUUUUGUGUUGGUUUGUAGGUUGACUUAACUAUAAUGGUUAAAACUGUAUGGACGUUGAAAGAGGCAUCUGCUUGGCAUUGACAAUGAAAAUGCUCCCAUUAGGGAUGCAUUGGCCACUUCUUUAGUAGAAGUAAUUCACAUCUUUUUUGCGCUUUAAUGUUCUAUUAUCUACAGUCAAAUCUACAUGUCUUUCUAUGACUGAGUGUUUUUAUGCAGAUUUGGUUUUAUGAUUGUCAUAUGCCAAGGGAAAUGUUUAAUUAAUGAAAAGGUAUACUGCCAUUUUCACGUUCUUUUUGCCUUGUGGAACACAAACUGCACAAUGUUAUACAAAUCAUUCUACUUGUCAACUCAUAAGGUUUAUUUAUUAGAGUUUUCAAGACUUUUAACAUAUGAAAGAUAUGUUACUUGUUAGCUGAGACAAAUUCAUAAAUUUACCGAAAUGAACUUUUCAAUGUAAAGCGAUCUGCAAGCACACUUUGAUUGUUUUUACAUGAUGAGGUUCAUGUGGAAGAAUAGACGCUUGCAUACAUGGAACUCUUUGAUUGUCAACAUUCGAAAAAAUUGGCAUAAAUUUCGCAUAUGGUGUCCGUUUUGGGCCCAUAACCCCAUUUUGGAAAGCUCGCGAUGAUUCUAAAUGAACUCACCACUUUUUUAUGAUGUA
This 1559-nucleotide long non-coding RNA is filed under the name Olea europaea subsp. europaea. Lineage: Eukaryota; Viridiplantae; Streptophyta; Magnoliopsida; Lamiales; Oleaceae. The record is from RNAcentral.